GACGAACGCUGGCGGCGUGCCUAAUACAUGCAAGUCGAACGCACUCUCGUUUAGAUUGAAGGAGCUUGCUCCUGAUUGAUAAACAUUUGAGUGAGUGGCGGACGGGUGAGUAACACGUGGGUAACCUGCCCUAAAGUGGGGGAUAACAUUUGGAAACAGAUGCUAAUACCGCAUAAAACCUAACACCGCAUGGUGUAGGGUUGAAAGAUGGUUUCGGCUAUCACUUUAGGAUGGACCCGCGGUGCAUUAGUUAGUUGGUGAGGUAAAGGCUCACCAAGACCGUGAUGCAUAGCCGACCUGAGAGGGUAAUCGGCCACACUGGGACUGAGACACGGCCCAGACUCCUACGGGAGGCAGCAGUAGGGAAUCUUCCACAAUGGACGAAAGUCUGAUGGAGCAACGCCGCGUGAGUGAGGAAGGUUUUCGGAUCGUAAAACUCUGUUGUUGGAGAAGAAUGUAUCUGAUAGUAACUGAUCAGGUAGUGACGGUAUCCAACCAGAAAG
This 503-nucleotide ribosomal RNA is filed under the name uncultured bacterium. Its description in RNAcentral is "bacterial SSU rRNA". It matches the Rfam family "Bacterial small subunit ribosomal RNA", at positions 28 to 490 of the family's 1533-position model. The record is from RNAcentral.